UGGGGAAUUUUCCGCAAUGGGGGCAACCCUGACGCAGCCACGCCGCGUGCCGGAAGACGGCCCUAUGGGUUGUAAACGGCUUUUAUUUGGGAAGAACCUGGGGGAUUGGUCCUCCACUGACGGUACCAAUUGAAUAAGCACCGGCUAACUCCGUGCCAGCAGCCGCGGUAAUACGGAGGGUGCAAGCGUUGUCCGGAAUCAUUGGGUGUAAAGGGUGCGCAGGCUGGCGCCUAAGUCGGAGGUGAAAUCUUGCCGCUUAACGGUAAAAUGGCCCCCGAUACUGGGCGUCUUGAAUCUGACAGAGGUUGGUGGAAUUCGUGGUGUAGCGGUGAAAUGCAUAGAGAUCACGAAGAACAUCAGUGGCGAAGGCGGCCGGCUGGGUCAGUAUUGACGCUGAGGCACGAGAGCGUGGGGAGCGAACGGGAUUAGAUACCCCCG
This 438-nucleotide ribosomal RNA is filed under the name uncultured prokaryote. RNAcentral describes it as "bacterial SSU rRNA". It matches the Rfam family "Bacterial small subunit ribosomal RNA", at positions 355 to 790 of the family's 1533-position model. The record is from RNAcentral.